Long non-coding RNA from Mus musculus (house mouse), 6012 nucleotides. RefSeq annotates it as predicted gene, 26854. NCBI's taxonomy places the organism in Eukaryota, Metazoa, Chordata, Mammalia, Rodentia, Muridae. The transcript is spliced from 3 exons. The record is from RefSeq and is a predicted model, not a curated record.
CUUCGGCCCGGGACGGACCAUCGGCCGCCCUGUCGGGGGAGUCCGGACGCACAAAGUUUCCAAAAAGUUCUGCCAGUCGCUGCCGCACCCCACUCGGGGCAGAGCUUAACUUAGCAAAGCAUGGCUCUUCUUCCUGAAUGGACCCAAGCAGACUGUUGCUUGACUUAUUACUGAAGCUGCACAUCACCCAGAAGCAAGAAUUCAUCACUAAAGGGAGCGCCACAUACUUCAAGAAGUAGUUAAACCUGCCUUACCCUCCUCCAACCCUCCAGCACUUGUCAGGUGCUCUGCCUAGUGCCUAGCUCAGAGGAUGCUAAGUGGAGCAACACAAUGGACAGACUUAUUGACAGUAGCACAGUGUGAUGAGAAUGGUAAGAAGAAGAGAUAUUUAGGAAGACAGAUCUUCAAAUAUGUGGCGCUUUGGGAGUCAUGAUGAUGAGUGUGCAGUAUGUGAACCAGGUAAUAGGAGAGCUUGAAAGAUUUUUGAAAAAGAAAAACCACUGAGCUGUAUGUAUGGAUCAGAGAACUGGGAAAAGAGUAAGGAGUUCACUUAGAAGUACUAUAUGAAGCCACUCAUGUAAGAGCAGGCAUGGGAAAUCUUUAAGUGGAAUACUAUACAUUUCCAAGGAUAUCAGGAGAAUCCUCUGUAUGUAACCAUUCACUUUUCCCAAUAAUCGUCCUGUCAUGGAAAACACAUUCAUGCUUCUGGUAAUUUGAGUUGAGAAUGGCCCCCAUAGGCUCAUAUGUUUUUGGGUAAUUGAUCCGUGGCUGGUAAAUGUAUAGGAAGGAUUAGGAGGUAUUGGAGGAGGUGUGUGACUGGAGGUGAGCUUUGAGGUUUCAAAAGCCCAUACCAUUCCCAGUUAAUUUUCUCUGCCUCGUGCUUGUGAUAAAUUAAAGGGAUCUGCAACCCUAUAGGUGGAACAACAAUAUGAACUACCCAGUACUCCCCGGAGCUUGUGUCUCUAACUGCAUAUGUAAUAGAAGAUGGCCUAGUCGGCCAUCAGUGGAAAGAGAGGCCCAUUGGUCAUGCAAACUUUAUCUGCCUCAGUACAGGGGAACACCAGGGCCAAGAAGUGGGAGUGGGUGGGUGGGGGAGCGUGUGGGGGACUUUUGGGAUAGCAUUGGAAAUGUAAAUGAAAUAAAUACCUAAUUAAAAAAAAAAGAUUUAAGCCCUGCAUCUGUUGCCUGCCUGAGGAUCAAGUUCCCUAAACUGGGCCACCUUGUCUGGCCUCAGUGGGAAAGGAUCCACCUAGUCUGCAGUGACUGGAUGUGCCAGGGUGGGGUGAUACCUAGCGGGGAGGCUUCCCUUUCUCAGAUGAGAAGGGGAGGGGAAACUGAGGGGAGGAGCUGUGUGAGGGCGCAUGUGGAAGAGAGGGGCUGAUAUUGGGAUAAAUUGUAUUAGUAAAUACAUUAAUGGAAAAAAUGUAAGCCCUUACCUAACUGCUCCAGUGUCAUGCUUGCCUGCCUGUCACCAGCUCUCUGUCAUGAGUGUUAUGAACUCUAACCAUCUUGACUGAGCCCUAGGCUGAACUUUUCCUUUUGUAAGUUUCCCUCUUUAUGGUGUCUUAUCACAGCAACAGAAAAGUCACUAAGACAGGACUCACAUCCCAGAUGCUUAAUUCUGCUAACCAUAAACCCCACAAUCAAUGGUGCUUUUGAUAUGGUUUCUAUUAUUACUGACUGUCAUAGAGUCUGGAUUAUCUCUUAGAAAUCAAGAAAUAAGUAAGCUAAACUCCCCGAUGGAAAUGGAAGAUCUAAAUAUCAAUAGGAUGUUUCUAGGCUGCAAGAAAGCAACAGAAGAAAAUACUAGGAUCGUCUGCGAGCAUUGUCAUUAUUGCCAUAUUUCCACAUUGGUGGUAGCGGCAUCACCAACCUACCACCCUGAUUCAAGAAUAGUAAAUCAAACAUCACUGCAGAGAAUCACAAGCCCAGCAGAUCCUCAUUAGCCACAGUAAUGCAGGCUUUUCUUACAGCAGCAGCCUUGAGCUUUUACAGUCCCGUAAAGUCAUAUUGUUGCAGAGUACCAACAUAAGAUGGGGAGUCUGAAAGGCAAAAACACUGAAGUAUCAUUCAUUAAUCGUGUUAGGUAUUGGUGCUUGCCUAUGGAAUGGGUCUCAAGUUUGGCCAGUUAUUGGUUGGCCAUUCCCUCUGUCUCUUAUCCAUCCCCCAUGCCUGCAUUUCUUGUAGACAGGAUAUAGUUUGGGUUGAAAAUUUUGUGGGUGGGUUGGUGUUCUGAUUGCUCCAUUGGGGUUCCUGCCUGGCUACAGGGAGUGGUCUCUUCAGGUUCCAUAUCCCCAAAGUUGUGAGUCACAGUUAAGGUCAACCCCAUUAAUUUUUGGGUACCUCCCUUUUCUUAGGUCUCUGUCUCAUACUGGAGAUACUUCCCACUUCCUCACUCCUGUCAGUUGUACAGUUUUAGACUGUACAUGUAGUUGUGCAUGUUGUCCUCUGAGAGGCUCCACCUACGUGCUGACUCAGACAGAUACAAGUACCCACAGCCAAACAGUGGAGGGAGCUUGGGAAGUCUUAAGGAAGAAUAGGAGGAAGGAUUGCAGACCUAUAAAGGGAUAGGAACUCCACAGGAAGACCAACACAGUCAACUAACCUGGACCCUUGGGGCUCUCAGAGUCUGAACCACUAACCAAAGAACAUAGGCUAGAUCAAGGUCUCCUUGCAUAUAUGGAGCAGCUUGGUCUUCAUGUGGGUCCUAAACAACUGGAACGGGGUUGGGGGGGGGCUAUCACCAAAGCUGUUGCCUGUAUGUGGGAUAUGUUCUAGCUGGGCUGCCUUUUCUAGCCUCAGUGGAAGAGAAAGCACCUAGUCUCACAGAGACUAAGUAAAACUAAGGAAAAUGAGGAGAGCUAUAUAGAAUCUAUAAAUUAAACAGCUUACAGCAAAUCCAAUUUAUUUUCCAUUAUAAGUAAUCAUUAAUUAGAGCACACCUAGUGGACAAUUGGGUAUAGGGGAUGUUCAGAUCAGAGUGCUCUUCCAGACAUCCACUCUGAUGUGAUUCUGUACUCCUCCACUCUGGCUUCUUAUACUGGUCUUUCUUCCUGUGGUACUGUAGAUGAAAAUGGUCACCAGACGUUCAUAGGAAAUGGCAUUGUUUGAAAGGAUUAGGACCUGUGGCCUUGUUGGAAUAGGUUCAGUUUUAUUGGAGGAAGUAUGUCACUGGUGUGGGCUUUGAGGUUUCAGAAAGUCAAAACGAGCUCACUCUCUCUUCCUGAUGCCUGUCCAUCUGGAUGUAGAACUCUCAGUUACCUCUCCAGCACCAUGUCUGCCUGCUUGCAACCAUGCCUCCUUCCAUGAUGAUAAUGAACUAAACCUCUGAACUAUAAGCCAGCCCCAAUUGAAUUUUUUCCUUUAGAAGAGUUGUCAUGGUCAUGGUGUUUCUACACACAAUAGAAACCCUAACUAUGAACCAUUCCAUUUUUUGAAAAAAGCAAAUUCACUUAUGCUCCAAGGUCUUUCUCCAAGGCCUUUCUCAACACCAACUUUGUUCUUCCGUGAUAUCCUUUCAUGAAGCCUUCUUUUUAUCAUGAAUUACAACUCUAAUGAUACCUUCUAGGAGAUGCCCCAAAUUGUAAUUAUCCAAACUAAUUACACCACUGCCUACCUACUGCCUUGGGCAAUCACAUUACUCUAUUAUUUUCUUCUCAGCAUUUCUUAUCUAAACAUUCUAUUAUCUUUUUACUUGCUUGUUGAUAUAAAGACCACCACUAAGCUCUCUUGACUGGGACCUGGAAUGUAGCAGUGUGUCACUAAGCUGGAUCUGACCAUUAGGCUUUGGAUGACAGUGGGGGAAGUCCAGAGUGGCCUACAGAGAUGGGGUAAAUGAUUAGCUGAAAAUCUGAUUUUCCAAAGACUCGAGGAAUUGCCAGGAAGUGCACACAGGAUAUAAAUCAUUCCAAUCAGGCUCAGGAUAAAUGACUUUACAUACUAUUGAGUGUUGGAAGCUACAAUUUUCCUAAUACAUUAACAAACAUAAAAAAAUGUAGAAUGGAAUUUAUUGUUCUGGUAUGCUAGUAUCCUGUAGGCUGAAUCCUGUGAAAUUCAUUUGGGAAACCUGAUCUUCACAAUGGUCUAUAUGAUGCCUUUGGUAAGAUGAUAUUCUACCACAAGUUAAUUUCCAUAGUGCUUCUAGUAACUGAUUUUCCUGGAAUGUCAACUCAAAACAUUUGAAUCAAAAAUUAAAAAUCUCUCUUAAUUGGUUCUACCCUGUAAGGCAGAGUUGUGGGGGAGAAAACAUGUGUUUGUCUUUGUUCCCUUCUUUCAGGAAUGGCUUCUUCAGUGUGUCCUUUAGCUCCCAGUGGCUGCCUCUCGCCCUAGAUUCCAAACUCGGUGUUACCAGUAUGCAGUCUCAUUGCUUCCUUAUGGCAGGACACAGAGUAAUUAAAUACAUGUUUUCAUAUUAUAUUUCCUUAUUAUAUUCUACUUUUUUUUUUACCACAGUGUACAUUAUUUUUAUCUUUACUAGAUCAAAAAAGUCAUACCUUCUUUAAAAAUAAAAUGUGAUGGUGACAGACCUUCCUUGUAUGUGACUGUUCUCUGUUAGUCAAUUGACACUGGAGUUUUCCAUUUAACUGCAAUGAAUGCAUAUGGAAAAGAGUCCUGGAGUCUGAGGAAACGUAGCUUAGUGGUUGAGCCUCUGACUUGCACAUGCUUUUAUUACCAUCAGUGGAAAAUAAUCUGACUGUUUUCCUUCUGGGUCACUAGAGAAUCACCACCUUCCUGAAUGAUCUAGUCACUAUCCGGACUGGGAAGUUUAUGGUCAACCAUCUACUUCAAAGAAAACAAAAAGUCACUGACGUCCUUAACCUUUGAAGCAAUAGUACCCAAGACAGAAAAGCUGUGGGGCAGUGGACUGUGAAUGGUAGCCUGGUCCUUGCUUGAGCUAAAAGGCUUUGAAGCACUGAGACCCUGAAGGGACGGUAGGAGCCUUGUCUGUUCUCAGGCACCAGGCCCAUGUCAUAUAGCCACAGCACCCCAUAGAUUUGUGGCCAUCUGCCAUGUAAGGGCAAUACCCCAAGCCCUUCCAUGUGUAAAUGAGGCAUCCCUGAAAUCGCAAACCAAGACAAUAGGAAAAGAGGCAUGACUACAGGUCAUGUAGGCUCAAGAAAGAGAUCUCCAUGCUAAUGAGGUACCUAGAGGCGUGGAGGGCAUAGCCAAUAAGCUUUCCUUCCCAGACACUCCUCCCUGCAAAAGGUAGUUAAUCUCAGGCCCACUCUGAGAAGUGGGGUAUGGUUUUAAACAUUCACUUUCCACAAUGGCAAUAAAUGGUUUGGAACCACAGACUGUCUCUUUUCAUGGAGAUCUGCCUUGAGGAGCCAUGGAGAAGGCCUUUGCCAAUAGCGCUGCCAUCUAGUCUCCUGUAGAGGGCCUCUCUGAAAUCCCAGCCAUGAUCACCACCAAGUAAAGCCAAGGACUCUCCCUAUGCCUGUGGGGGGAGGGGGAACCACUCUGUUUUCAGCUCUUCUUGCCUUAAUAUGAGCGGAAGUGCCUAGUCUUACUGCAACUUGAUAUACCAUGUAUGAAUUCCACAGGAGUCGUGCCCCUUUCUGAAGAGAAAUGGAGAGAAAGUAAAUGGAGGGGGCUGGAAGGAUAGGGGCAACUGGUAGAGGUAUGAUAUGUGAGAAGAAAAAAAUAGUCUAGAAUAAAAUAAAAUCCAAACAAAUCUUGUGUUUUAUAGUCACUAUAGCAAAAGUAUUAAUUCCCAGCAGUAAUAUCUUAAAGGAUGAUUGAAGUACCAUGUUUUAAAGGUACAAUAAUAUUAUUUGUUUUAGUCAUAUUUUAUGUUUUUGAAACCACGAAAUUCAUUAAAAUGAAAAGUAAACAUUAUAGAAUAUACACACAAACAAACCCUAACCAGGUUACUAUGGUUGUAGGGUUUUUAAGGACCAAGGAAUUUGUUUUCCUGUUUAUACACCUCUGUUCUUUUCUGAGAUUCAUUUUUCAAUAGACAGUUGUAAGAUGCAACUCUUAGAUGCUGGCAAGGAUGUGGAGAAAGAGGAA